Molecule: long non-coding RNA, 549 nt
Organism: Myripristis murdjan (pinecone soldierfish)
Lineage: Eukaryota; Metazoa; Chordata; Actinopteri; Holocentriformes; Holocentridae
Exons: 4
Source: RefSeq, a predicted model, not a curated record
UCUUGCUGUCUGUGUUGCUGCUCUCCAAACUUAACAUGCAAGUCCUUUGUCAAUUACUAGAUUUGCCAAAUAACAGAUUGUGCACCUUGUUUUACUAAUUAAUCAUAAAAUCCACCAGCAUACAGAUUGGAGUAGUACAAAUCGGUGUGUUCUUACCACACAGAAGACGCCGUCAACAGUGGAGUUUGACUUCAAUUUCUGGGCCUGAAAAAGCAAGACAUGGAGAACCAAGAUCACAAUUAGAGCCUGAGCAGAGGCCUCUGCAUAACGGCUGGUGAUAGGACCAAAUGAGAAACCAAACAGAAGAACUGGGUGAGAAUUUCAAGCCUGGUGCCAGAUGUCCCCAGCACUAGGAAAAUAACAGGGUGGGUUGGUCGGCUUGCAGUGGACCCUGAUCACCGCAGCCUCCCACUCCCUUUGGUCCAAUGUGGGCAUAGAGGUGCGGAUGAUAACAAGGACUGGAAUAGUUAAAGGAAGAGGAUGGAUUGGAGUAGACAGAGCAGCAAUCUGGAGAAGAGAAGCAACAUAUUCUGUCCAGGCUGCCCUUUA